UUUACAUGCCAGUCGAACGGUACAGGUCUUCGGAUGCUGACGAGUGGCGAACGGGUGAGUAAUACAUCGGAACGUGCCUAGUAGUGGGGGAUAACUACUCGAAAGAGUAGCUAAUACCGCAUGAGAUCUACGGAUGAAAGCAGGGGACCUUCGGGCCUUGUGCUACUAGAGCGGCUGAUGGCAGAUUAGGUAGUUGGUGGGGUAAAGGCUUACCAAGCCUGCGAUCUGUAGCUGGUCUGAGAGGACGACCAGCCACACUGGGACUGAGACACGGCCCAGACUCCUACGGGAGGCAGCAGUGGGGAAUUUUGGACAAUGGGCGAAAGCCUGAUCCAGCAAUGCCGCGUGCAGGAUGAAGGCCCUCGGGUUGUAAACUGCUUUUGUACGGAACGAAAAGCCUGGGGCUAAUAUCCCCGGGUCAUGACGGUACCGUAAGAAUAAGCACCGGCUAACUACGUGCCAGCAGCCGCGGUAAU
This 476-nucleotide ribosomal RNA is filed under the name uncultured bacterium. Its description in RNAcentral is "bacterial SSU rRNA". It matches the Rfam family "Bacterial small subunit ribosomal RNA", at positions 50 to 524 of the family's 1533-position model. The record is from RNAcentral.